RNAcentral lists this ribosomal RNA (407 nucleotides) under uncultured bacterium. RNAcentral's name for it is "partial 16S ribosomal RNA". It matches the Rfam family "Bacterial small subunit ribosomal RNA", at positions 30 to 526 of the family's 1533-position model. The record is from RNAcentral.
AUUGAACGCUGGCGGCAGGCCUAACACAUGCAAGUCGAGCGGAGCGGCGGACGGGUGAGUAAUGCCUAGGAAUCUGCCUGGUCGUGGGGGAUAACGUCCGGAAACGGGCGCUAAUACCGCCUACUCUCAGUUGAACCUAGGUCGGAUUAGCUAGUUGGGGGGGAAAAGGCCUACCACGGCGACGAUCCGUAACUGGUCUGCGAGGAUGAUCAGUCACACUGGAACUGAGACACGGGCCAGACUCCUACGGGAGGCAGCAGUGGGGAAUAUUGGACAAUGGGCGAAAGCCUGAUCCAGCCAUGCCGCGUGUGUGAAGAAGGUCUUCGGAUUGUAAAGCACUUUAAGUUGGGAGGCGUUACCAACAGAAUAAGCACCGGCUAACUUCGUGCCAGCAGCCGCGGUAAUUC